This 564-nucleotide long non-coding RNA is filed under the name Danio rerio (zebrafish). RNAcentral's name for it is "lncRNA si:ch73-167f18.3 (ENSDARG00000095933.2)". Lineage: Eukaryota; Metazoa; Chordata; Actinopteri; Cypriniformes; Danionidae. The record is from RNAcentral.
UUAAAGGGGUGGUCCAGAAUGUAAUUUUAAGGCUUGGUUGUGUUUAUAAGAUGCAAAGCAAUGUGUGCUUAUGUUUCACUUGACGGAAAUCGCGUAAUUUUUUCAUAUAUCUCACUUUGAUUAUACACAGCUACUCAGCUAACAUGAAAACGACUGUCAUAUUUCCUAGUUCCUCUAAAAGGCCCGCCCUUAAGUGACUCUGAUUGGUCAUCGACAUAAUGUGCUGCUAUUGGCGGAUCGGCUCCACGUCACGCCCGUAAAAGCACACGCUUUUCUGCUGUGUAAACAUGAAGUCAACCUCGCGCCCGCUCUCUAAAAUAACAUCUGACAAGUGUCUGUAACUAACGAGUGAAAAAGGGGUGCGGCUCCUUUAACAGCGUCUGUGUGUGCGUCUAUGUGUGUGUUUGUGUGUGAAAAUGGGGUGCGGCUCCUUUAGGAGUUUGCCAUUGUGAACUUUUUGUAACAAGCGCAUGUGCGCGGGACUUUCUUUUUCUCUGAUGCUCGGAUUAAGUUAUUUUCUGUAAUAUAUCGUGACAGAAGAAUAAAGCACAAGAUGUGGGAUGC